This is a long non-coding RNA of Mustela erminea (ermine), 1760 nucleotides long. RefSeq lists it as uncharacterized. The transcript has 2 exons. The record is from RefSeq and is a predicted model, not a curated record. Lineage: Eukaryota; Metazoa; Chordata; Mammalia; Carnivora; Mustelidae.
GGAAUCUGCUUGAUAUUCUCUGCCCCCACCCCCGCCCCUACCGCUGCUUAUGGGUGCAUGCUCUUUGGCUUUCUCUCUGUCUCUCUGUCUCAUUCUUGUUCUCUCUUAAAUAAAUAAAUAAAUCUUUCAAAAGAAUAGUAGUACUUACCUCACAGAGAGGUGAAAAGAAUUCACAGAGGUAAUUUUUGUCGGCACUUUGCACAGUGUCAGUGCAUAAUCAGAGCCAAAUAAAUGCUGACUGGUAUUUCUGCCACUACUGCUGCAACCACAGCAUCUACUGUGGUAGAUCUAUUACAUCUACUGUGGUUUUAUUUAUUCCUAACACUAGAGAAAAAAUAACUAAAGGGUAAACCCCCACCUCCCAUUUUUGCUCCUCUCUUAACAGUAAAUCAAGUCAACUAAUGCUAACUUCAAGACAAUUCCUUGGUUUCAAAACAAAUAAGUCAAGGUAUUUGUUUGGAGGGGGUGCUAUUGUUUGCUAAAAUAUAUGUAUAUUCCAUAUUGUCCUUUAGUAUUGGAUCUUUUCUGCUCAGAAUUCCAGGUUUGCCCUCAAAUGUGGUUCAUGUCAAUCAAUCUCUUCAGUCCUAUUUUCUAAACAUUUCAGAAAUUAAAAACUAACAAAUGCAAAGAAGGUAGAAAAAAUUAACUCAAGAUCAAACUGUAAGGUGUUUAUAGAGACUGCAGCCCAUCUAUAAUCCUUGAGAGGACUUAGAGCACAAAGUACUAAUAUAAGUUGAACAAUGUAUGUGGAGUAAGGCCACACUAUGGCUUUGAUUUCAGUGAUAUGCUAAAUGAUCUUGGUAUGGACAGAACUCAAACAGGUUGAUAAAGUAAAAUGACAGACUCAUCCGAAAAAAAAAAAUGUAAACUUUAUGUUAUAAUUAACAUCUAAUGUAAUUGUUAAUGCCUUGGAAAAACAGAUGUUAAGUAAAUAGGCUCCAAUUUUCUUCGUGCUGUUUCUUUAAGCUUUUUCUCUUCUCAUCUGGGGACUUUUUCACUCUAAUACUUUAAGACCAAGUGCCAUUUUAAAACAUUUUAAACUCUCCGGACUCAGUCAGGGGACCAUGCGACUUGAUCUCAGGGUGCUGACUUCAAGCCCCACCUUGGGUGUAGAGAUUACUAAAAAUAAACAAACUUCGAAAAUAAAAUCAAAUAGAAGUUAGAAGUAUGGAAUUAUAAGGGCCCCUCCCGCCAGAGGGAGCCAUUUCCUUGUGGGCUUGGGUUGACCCUGACCCUCCUGGAGUAACUUGCUUGCAGGCCCCAGAUCUGGGGGCGGGCCAGGUCGGAUGGAGCCAUCCAAUCAGUGGGGCACGCAUAUAUUUGCUGUGGUGAGUUGGAAUUUAAUUGGCCACCGGUAUUGCUGAGGGAGGGUGACUGCAGUUUUCCCUGUUUGUUGCAGUCUCAUUGGCCACGUGUGUGGGCGGGGCUCAACCACCUCUAGAAAGAUUAGUCUGCAAGGCAGGGAAGUAGUGAUAGUCGUCUGGGUAGUAGUGGUAGCGUUGGGGUCGUUGGGGUUGUCGGGAUUGUCAGGGUCAUUGGGAGCGUCAUGGGCCUCAACAGGGAGCGGCCUCGCCUCGCUGGGUAAGGGGAGCGGCCUGGCCUCACCAGGUUGAGAAUAUUCCAUUGUUUGGAUGCAUUUAUCCAUUUACUUACUGAAGGACAUCUUGAUUGCUUCCAACUUUUGUCAUUUAUGAAUACAGCUGCUAUGAACUUCUAGGUGCAGGUUUUGUUAUGGAUAAAUUUUCAGCUCAUUUAGGUAA